UGGGGAAUCUUGCGCAAUGGCCUAACGGCUGACGCAGCGACGCCGCGUGAGGGAUGAAGCUCCUCGGAGUGUAAACCUCUGUUGCCCGGGACGAAUAGCGGAUUUUUCCGACUUGACGGUACCGGGUGAGGAAGCACCGGCUAACUCCGUGCCAGCAGCCGCGGUAAUACGGGGGGUGCGAGCGUUGUCCGGAAUCACUGGGCGUAAAGGGCGCGUAGGUGGCUUUGUAAGUUUGCGGUGAAAGCCCGGGGCUCAACCCCGGGUCUGCCGUGGAUACUGCAAGGCUUGAGUACUGUAGAGGCAGGUAGAAUAUCGGGUGUAGCGGUGGAAUGCGUAGAGAUCCGAUAGAAGACCGGUGGCGAAGGCGGCCUGCUGGGCAGUAACUGACACUGAGGCGCGACAGCGUGGGGAGCAAACAGG
This 420-nucleotide ribosomal RNA is filed under the name uncultured Gemmatimonadaceae bacterium. Its description in RNAcentral is "bacterial SSU rRNA". It matches the Rfam family "Bacterial small subunit ribosomal RNA", at positions 355 to 776 of the family's 1533-position model. Lineage: Bacteria; Pseudomonadati; Gemmatimonadota; Gemmatimonadia; Gemmatimonadales; Gemmatimonadaceae. The record is from RNAcentral.